CAGAGGGGGCUAGCGUUGUUCGGAAUUACUGGGCGUAAAGGGCGCGUAGGCGGCCCGCUAAGUCGAACGUGAAAUCCCCGGGCUCAACCCGGGAACUGCGUCCGAUACUGGCGGGCUUGAAUCCGGGAGAGGGAUGUGGAAUUCCAGGUGUAGCGGUGAAAUGCGUAGAUAUCUGGAGGAACACCGGUGGCGAAGGCGGCAUCCUGGACCGGUAUUGACGCUGAGGCGCGAAAGCCAGGGGAGCAAACGGGAUUAGAUACCCCGGUAGUCCUGGCCCUAAACGAUGAAUGCUUGGUGUGGCGGGUAUCGAUCCCUGCCGUGCCGAAGCUAACGCGUUAAGCAUUCCGCCUGGGGAGUACGGUCGCAAGGCUG
This 372-nucleotide ribosomal RNA is filed under the name uncultured organism. RNAcentral describes it as "bacterial SSU rRNA". It matches the Rfam family "Bacterial small subunit ribosomal RNA", at positions 526 to 896 of the family's 1533-position model. The record is from RNAcentral.